UCUUCUCUCUCUUCUC
This 16-nucleotide microRNA is filed under the name Chiloscyllium plagiosum (whitespotted bambooshark). RNAcentral's name for it is "microRNA PC-3p-2025661_1". The record is from RNAcentral. Lineage: Eukaryota; Metazoa; Chordata; Chondrichthyes; Orectolobiformes; Hemiscylliidae.